CUAAUUUGCACAUUACAGCACUACAAAGCGAUAUAUGAACACAUCGUAAACAGCAACCACUCGAUCACACACACAAGAAACGAGGUACCCAACGUUGCUAGACACCAUCCGAACUCCGAAGUGAGAGUAGCAAAACAACAAGAUAUCAAAACACGAAAGGAAGAGUAUUGAUCCCCCCUCCUUCUAUAGCAUGCGAAACGUGAUUUGCGCUGAGAUGAACAUAUAUGUUCAUGACGCGAGUAAUUUUCACUUUUCACUGAUCCAAAGGAGGUCACGUGGGAUUGCUUGAAAAUGGCGAAACGAAACUUGUGAAUCGUGCAUUUGCUCUUCUUGGUAGCUGCCAGAAAAUCGAAUCAAGCUUAUGGGACACUGGAUUACAGGUUGCUGCCACUACUCCAUGUGCCCGCAAUUGUCUUGCGUGUAUGAUUACACUAACGGCGUCGCCAACCACGGCGGAAGUGUUUUGCGUACACGCGUUUCAGCAUGAAGCCUGCAGGUGGACGUAAAUUGUAGAAGGCAGCUAGUGGGGGAGAAGAUCAUGGUCAUAGGUCAUGUGACUCCUGGAGCUCCCAGUGGGCUCCCUUGUGGAGUACUUUUCAGAACACACACACAUACAGUUUGCUCACAGAACCAACGAGUAGGAUGUUGCUUGAAUACUGAGAGAAAAUGGCGUAACACAUACAAAUAUCGUGUGACACAUAUGACAAUAAAAACAUUUUUCACGAGGGAUGCAUGAAACACUGUCGCAAUAUUGUGUGCAUGAACCAUUGUGUGUGACACAAGCCGUGGGGGCACACCGCCUCGGACACAUUUUGGGAAGCAUAAAACACAGUAUAUACAGAGCUAGUAUGGUGGAUGCUUCUUUUUUCUUUUUGGCCGUUAUGAGACAUCUUCGGCCGUAAUGAGACUACCUUCGGCCGUAUUGAGACUUUGGCCGUAACGAGACACUUGGGGAUUAAAGGAUUUUCGGCCGUAAUGAGACUUUCGGCCGUAAUGAGACUUCGGCCGUA
Ornithodoros turicata is the source of this 1010-nucleotide long non-coding RNA. RefSeq lists it as uncharacterized. The record is from RefSeq and is a predicted model, not a curated record. The transcript is spliced from 3 exons. Lineage: Eukaryota; Metazoa; Arthropoda; Arachnida; Ixodida; Argasidae.